This 26-nucleotide small RNA is filed under the name Bombyx mori (domestic silkworm). Its description in RNAcentral is "ovarian small RNA-28085". The record is from RNAcentral. Lineage: Eukaryota; Metazoa; Arthropoda; Insecta; Lepidoptera; Bombycidae.
UCCUUGUCGAGCCCGUUGAAUACGAC